AGAGCCCAAUGUAGCCAAGGAUAAACUUGCCGGAAAAUAAGGGCACUUGAAUUGCCUUUGCUAGUUCCGGCCGCCGGCAAGUCAUCCUUGGCUGCACCACACUCUCU
Citrus sinensis (sweet orange) is the source of this 107-nucleotide non-coding RNA. Lineage: Eukaryota; Viridiplantae; Streptophyta; Magnoliopsida; Sapindales; Rutaceae. The record is from Rfam.